Long non-coding RNA from Acipenser ruthenus (sterlet), 935 nucleotides. RefSeq lists it as uncharacterized. The record is from RefSeq and is a predicted model, not a curated record. Lineage: Eukaryota; Metazoa; Chordata; Actinopteri; Acipenseriformes; Acipenseridae. The transcript has 3 exons.
CAUUGGAUGCAGUCACAUUGGUUUUAUGCGGGUUUAUCUUAAAUUUAAAAGCUUAAUAUGGCAUGGUAUUGAAAGAAGAAGCAAGAGGUUUGUAAGAACUCAUUUCCAAUUGUUAUCCAUUGCGCCAGCAGGGAUGAGAAACAGUAGUAAAGACUCGUGACGGGGAGUUGUAUACACAAUUUCCUUGGCAAUCUGUGCUAUACCCGCAAAGGGGUUUCUUUUUAUCAUGCUAGCAGAAACACAUCCCGUUCUUAACUGAGAUCAGGACUAACUCAUUUUAAAGGAGCAGGAACCUACUUCCAGUCUUUGAAGGAACACAGAAGGCGGCUGCUUGGUGAUACAGUAUUUACUGUGUCAUGUAGCACAACAGUUCUGAUCAAGGCAACGUGCGUUAAGCUUCAGCUGAGAGAUGAACUCUAUUCGAAGGAUUCAACCCUUGCGAGCUCGAAGACAGAAAAGCUGUGGAAGUAAACACCCUUAUCGACCACUGAGCACAAAUGAACUUGCCACCUGUACUAUGAUGAUCAUAAUUGUUAUAAUAACAAUAUGGUGUUCUUGGGCAACUGCCCCCAACCCUGCCCUAUAGCAAAUUACGCUCCUGCUUGGAGUGUGUACACUACACAGGGCUGAAGACAGUUCAGAACAUUCUGUGACCAAUCUUUUAAGAAGCAGAAGGUGUGAAUUGACGCCAUGUUCAUUUGGAGCUGUUUGGGUUUACGUAAAUGAAAGCAAUGUUAAGUGUGGUGCACAUACCAGUGAUGUCAGAUGUUGAAACUUUCAUUCUAAAAAAGUGAACGUUUAACUGUUGUUUAAAUAGCAGCUCCGGAGGAAUGAGAUACCACAAACACAUGGCGAAUGGAAAAUGUGGUGUGUCUGCGCUAUUUCGUUAAACCUGGUGAUGCGAAACAGUCCCUGUAAUGUGUCAAAAAACUAUA